This 84-nucleotide small nucleolar RNA is filed under the name Amborella trichopoda. The record is from RNAcentral. Lineage: Eukaryota; Viridiplantae; Streptophyta; Magnoliopsida; Amborellales; Amborellaceae.
CAGAAUGAUGGAAAACAGGAGCUGAACCUGACUGAGCAGAAAACGAAGACGUAAAAGGUCGGCCUGCACUUGAAGAAUCUGGAA